This is a long non-coding RNA of Hypanus sabinus (Atlantic stingray), 2858 nucleotides long. RefSeq lists it as uncharacterized. The transcript has 2 exons. The record is from RefSeq and is a predicted model, not a curated record. Lineage: Eukaryota; Metazoa; Chordata; Chondrichthyes; Myliobatiformes; Dasyatidae.
UUUUUUUUUACUGGAAAGUGAAAUUGAUAUUCAGGCCUUCAGGUUGGAAUAUGAUGUGUUUCUCUUCGACCCUGAGGCUGACAAGUUGAGCAACUCCAGCCAUUGCUAUUCUCUCAUCAUCCCUGCUAGUGUCCCCAUCCAAUCAACUUUGGUGAGCUCUUCUCCCGUCCUUCUGCUAUGUACCCGUGGGUAUCUUGAGCCUGUCACAUGACCAUGAUGUAAUUAAGGCUAUGCUGGGCAUGAUAUAAUGGUCUUGUGAUGGUAGAGUGACAUAAUUUUCCUGCCAGUGAGAGGUCAUGUGACAGUUUUUUUUCAACAGGGUAUAAAAGGAGAACCCCUCCCUGUGAUGUGGGGCAGUUCAUGGUUGAAUUCAUCAGUGACUCCGUUGCACUGCAUAUUUGAUGUUAUGACGCAGUUUUGUUUUAAAGUGGAGUUUUACGUUCUGCCUUAAGUCUCAAAGGUUAUUGGAGUUUUGCUACAAUAAUGCCAUUUCAGUCCAGUCGGAGAGUGAAGAUUUAUCAAAGUUCAGGAAGCUGGAGGAUCAAGGAAAGUUGAUGUCGGCGGUAAAACUAGUUUGACCUUUAAUUAAUCUUCGUGCAAGGAAUUAGUAACUUGUGCCCAAGAUAACUCCUGCUUUGUCAAAAGAGCAGGAAGAGUUGGAUGCAGAGCUUCACCAAGGAAAGAGCCACACAACCCCACUACCAUCUUGUUCUUCGCUUGUCCUUUCAAGAAACAUAAGUAUCUGGGAAACAAGAGGACCUGCAGAUGCUAGAAAUCUAGAGAACUACACAUAAAGUGCUGGAGCAGCUCAGCAAGUCAGACAGCAUCUAUGGAUGGGAAUCAACUUUUCAGGCCAAGACCCUUCAUCGGGACUCUUGAUACCGACAUAUCUUGAAAAUCAACAUGCGAAGAAAAUAGAAGGUAAUGCAAAAUAGGAAAAACCUUUGACAAAAUUUAGUUCAAGGCUUAAAAAACCAACCAGAGCUCAGCAGUUAAGAAAUACAACAAAGGCAAUAAACACUUACAUCAAUACCGAUAUUUACUUUAUUUUUUACAAAAAUAUCUUGCUCCUGUUUCAAUUAGUAAAAUUUACAAAGUAAGAACUUUAGAAAACUUUAGAGAAGACUAUUUAUACUCAAACCCACUUAGAUUAACACUACCUUGGACAGAAGGAGAUAGAAAAAUAACACACAUGAAAAAACACAGUCAGAAAAAACUUCUAAAUAUAUCUUUUCAUCAAAAAUGAACAGGAUUCAGCACUCCAUGUGAGUAUAUACAAUCGUGGUAAGAAAUACAGACCAGAAAACUUAAAUGAGAGGCCAACUGAGAAAAAUGAAUCAUCACUAUGGAAGAAAACAUUAACCAGUGGAAUGAGUAUGACCCUCCAUGGGAGUCAUCCCAAUGAUCUGAGUAGAUGAGAUGGUGACAAGGAGGCAUUGAGCACCUGACUGAGAGUUGGAGACCUUUUCCCAGAAACAGAGGGGUCUCUUGCAGAAAUACAGGACAAGGUGGUUAACAAAAGGGGAAAAAAAAUCAAAAAUACAUGAAAAGACAAUCAAAUAAGGCAGUAAGUGCAGAAAAUGGCAAGAGAAACUAGACACAAUCCAACACAUUCCAGGAUCCUGCAGCAGUUUAACUCAAUCUGAUUACUUACAAAGGUACAAUCAAGUGGCAAAUAUCACUUACAAAAUCUUGCUAUAAAAUACAAACUCAUGAAUGCCCUUCACCACUUCAUAAAGACACCAUAAAUUCAAGUCUGAUCCAGCUUUAGAGACAAAAUCUUACAAAUUAUAGAGAAUCAAACAUUAUUACAGAUAGGACAAUGGAGAAUAACCAUCCAGAUAUAUUACAGGAUAAAUAUGCAGGAAGACGUCACUCAAAAGAUAAAACCAUUCCCAGCAAACACAUGUGCCUCGACCACUGGAGCACCUCACCACAAGUAUUGUUUGUGUCAUCAGUCAGACAACCGAAAGAUUUUCUCUGUCAAUCAGCUUCCAAAUGUUGCUACUCUGUCAUUCGUUGCUACGCCCCACUCGUGAUUCCCUUCUCGACUUCUUCGGUCUGCAGAAAAUUCAAGGGAAACCUCUUCACUUACACUGUGGUGACUGUUUGGAACCCAUCACCACAGGGAGAGCUAGAGAUGAACAACAGGGGAGGAUUUAAAAGGACUGCCAGAGAACAGAAUCAUUGGCAGGGUCCAGCUGCCCUGAGUUGACUCUCUACUGCACACCAGGUCUGUUAUAAAUUCACUAAGUAUCGGAGACAGAGUUUAAAAUAGAACUGAAUUUAAUUGUCUCAUAUCCAGAAUAUUAAUCUCUGGUCCCAUUAAAGGUGAAUAUGCAGCAGAAGAAACUCCUCCCAUGCCCAGCGACGAGGGUGCAGAACUGGUGUGGUGAGCAGCAGCAAUAAUUGCAGAGUUCAGCACCAACAGUCACUCUCAAAAUUGCAUUCAGCAACGGUGAUGGACAAAUAUCAGCAUGCAGCUUAUUGAAACUUUUUCCCCAGUGUGAACCCUGUAGUGGGUCACAAGUGCAACACGCUGUAAGAUUUCACUGCUAAUGUAAUGGCCUCUCUGCAAUGUUUCACUGCUGAGGUAAUGGUUUCUCUGUAGCAGCAAUGUUUAGGUUAUGACUAGAGUUUGACUAGGUUAUGACUAGACUAAUGUUUAGGGUUUUGGAGAGCUAUCCAAUGACAGAAAUGUUCUUUCUUGUGAGUCUGGAAGAGAGAUUUCCAUGGUCUUUUGCUGGGGAGAGAUGAGAAGACGCAAAUGGAGAGAGUGGGCCCUUUUUCUUUUUUUUGUUUUCUUUACUAACCCUAUAGUCAAAGUAAGAAUUAUAAAGCUCAAUCGUUUAAUCACA